RNAcentral lists this ribosomal RNA (253 nucleotides) under Segatella copri DSM 18205. Its description in RNAcentral is "Prevotella copri DSM 18205 partial 16S ribosomal RNA". It matches the Rfam family "Bacterial small subunit ribosomal RNA", at positions 524 to 776 of the family's 1533-position model. Lineage: Bacteria; Pseudomonadati; Bacteroidota; Bacteroidia; Bacteroidales; Prevotellaceae. The record is from RNAcentral.
UCCGUUAGGUCCUGUCUUUCUUCGGAUUUAUUGGGUUUAAAGGGAGCGUAGGCCGGAGAUUAAGCGUGUUGUGAAAUGUAGACGCUCAACGUCUGCACUGCAGCGCGAACUGGUUUCCUUGAGUACGCACAAAGUGGGCGGAAUUCGUGGUGUAGCGGUGAAAUGCUUAGAUAUCACGAAGAACUCCGAUUGCGAAGGCAGCUCACUGGAGCGCAACUGACGCUGAAGCUCGAAAGUGCGGGUAUCGAACAGG